UACGUAGGGUGCGAGCGUUGUCCGGAAUUAUUGGGCGUAAAGAGCUUGUAGGCGGUCUGUCGCGUCUGCUGUGAAAAUCCGGGGCUCAACCCCGGACUUGCAGUGGGUACGGGCAGACUAGAGUGUGGUAGGGGAGACUGGAAUUCCUGGUGUAGCGGUGAAAUGCGCAGAUAUCGGGAGGAACACCAAUGGCGAAGGCAGCUUGCUGGGACGGUACUGACGCUGAGACGCGAAAGCGUGGGGAGCAAACAGG
This 253-nucleotide ribosomal RNA is filed under the name uncultured bacterium. RNAcentral describes it as "partial 16S ribosomal RNA". It matches the Rfam family "Bacterial small subunit ribosomal RNA", at positions 524 to 776 of the family's 1533-position model. The record is from RNAcentral.